UCCUGCACUAGCUGACAGCUUAUUUCAACAACGUCGGGUUUUCAUCACCAACAACUGAUUGACUGAAAUGUUUCCCGUCUGUCUGAUCUUCCACUAUGAAAAUCACUUUGUUAAUGAGACAUUAGAAUAAGAUACAGGUUAACAAAUAGCCUUUUCUGUGUCGUACCGCUCACUACAGUCAGAAGUGAUCACAACCAAGUACGAAAACCAAACAGUUGUAGUACUACAAUACAACCUAUGCUAUAAGUCUAAACUCUAAAUUUCGUGCCUUCAGCAGUGUGAAAACAGUGAAAUUGUAUUCAUACUGUGCUGUUUUCCAGGAUCACUUGAAAGCAAUAUUGCAUUAAAAGAGAAGUAUGUUGAUGAGGCCAUACCGUUAACUUCCACAUAUUCUUCUUAAUCAUCAAGCAGCCUUAAUGGGAUAUGAGAGCAGGAGCACCUCUUGAAAUCAUACUUCCCAGAAGUUACCCUAGCCUGGUUAAGGAUCAAGAAAGGGACUGACGCCGAUUAUCACCUCCAGGUUUGGAGUUUUGAGCUUAUGCUGUUUGUAGUGAGUUGGUGGGUUCUUGGUGACGAAGGAAUGAUCAUGAUUUGAAGGAUAGAUGUGGAAUCCUGGAAGUGUUGCUGACCGACAACCAGCUCCGGUCAACAUUUGGUCUUGUGAUUGCAUUUGUGCCAUUACCAGCAUCAAUGCCACCUAUCACCACGCUACUGCAAUACUUCAUGACACUUUCUUUGGCAUCAGGAAAUUUAUCUCAACAUG
This 763-nucleotide long non-coding RNA is filed under the name Daphnia pulex (common water flea). RNAcentral's name for it is "uncharacterized LOC124196911". The record is from RNAcentral. Lineage: Eukaryota; Metazoa; Arthropoda; Branchiopoda; Diplostraca; Daphniidae.